Molecule: ribosomal RNA, 139 nt
Filed under: Polaribacter sp. Asnod1D05
Lineage: Bacteria; Pseudomonadati; Bacteroidota; Flavobacteriia; Flavobacteriales; Flavobacteriaceae
Description: partial 16S ribosomal RNA
Rfam family: Bacterial small subunit ribosomal RNA
Source: RNAcentral
GCCNUGCCGCGUGNAGGAAGANUGCCCUAUGGGUUGUAAACUGCUUUUAUACAGGAAGAAACACUGGUAUGUAUACCAGCUUGACGGUACUGUAAGAAUAAGGACCGGCUAACUCCGUGCCAGCAGCCGCGGUAAUACG